CCCUGCCUGUCCGUUCUCGUUCCCAAGGCCCAGACAGCCGGUUUGACAGCCAGUGACAAGUGCAACUGGAUCUGCUGCUGUCCAUCACAGCAGAGCUCUGUCCUCCCACCAGAAGCCUCCCGGCCAGGACCAAACAAGGCAAGGCCCAGCUCUGCAGCAUGGAAGCAACUGAUGGAGAAAGCAGCAAGUGAUCAGAGGAAAACACCACACAAAGGUGGAAGAGCCGCAGCUGCCACUGCCAGCAUGGUAUCAGUGGGAUGGCCACAGGUCUGAUGCAAGAUGACACAAACAAAAACACUCAAGCACAAAACUUUGAACACAAACUGGGACCCCAAGUGUCUCCUCGUCUGCGUUUGCCGGGGUCAGCGCAGCUGCUGGAAAGAGAUCCUCUUGCUAUGUAAACCCGAGCAAAGCGUCUGAUGACUUUUUCAGCCUUUGAGAAGAAGGAUGAGUGCAACAGUCACAGAUCUGAUCCUGCUGCUGUGAAACAGCACUUAGUGAUGGUGUGCCUCGACAAAAGCCCUGCAUCCGUUGGCUUUAAGCCUGUUUCUGAGAGCUCCCGUAGUCCAACAGCUGGUGUCUGUAUUUAAAGAGCGCUGCGCUGGAGUAUGCUGCACGAGGGCCAUUGACACACUGAUCCUCAAAAACAUGAAGGGCGCUCUGCUGUGUGCCCCCAUGCCACAGGCUCUGAACACAAACACACACACACACACACACACACACACACACACACACACACACACACACACACACACACACACACACACACACACACACACACACACACACACACACACACACACACACACACACACACACACACACACACACACACACACACACACACACACACACUGGUAUAAAUAGACGCGUCUGUUUUCUUCUAUAGAGAAUAAAACACACAAACAAACUCCAUGCUUCUGAGCUGAAGAAGGACUCAAAUGUAGCUGAAGUUUCCCACGGCACUAAAGGCAAUACACACACACAACUAGUGUCGUGUUGUGGCACUUGAAGAGUCCAAACUCUCAGCCAUGUCUAAGUGUGUGAUGAAGGGAGGAGAACAGAGGAGGAGGAGGAGGGUAAGGGGAGCAUCCUGUCCAUCUGCUCCCAUCGUGGGAUUAUAGACAGUUGUUUAAUCUGACCAGCUUCAGGGAUGGGGCAUUCACACACACACCAUGCUCUGGAUUUCACUUUAAUACAUUAGGAAUUCUGCUCGGCCUGAAACCCCAUCUGUGACCAUCUGUGUUCUCACUGUGCUGCGUGCUGAAGGACAAAACAUUUCUUUCAGGAGAAGUUGAAAUUAAGAGACCAGCAUCACCU
Molecule: long non-coding RNA, 1320 nt
Organism: Nothobranchius furzeri (turquoise killifish)
Lineage: Eukaryota; Metazoa; Chordata; Actinopteri; Cyprinodontiformes; Nothobranchiidae
Source: RefSeq, a predicted model, not a curated record